GCAUCACUACCAGUCUUAAGCAGAUAUAAUGUGAAACAAGAAAGGAGUUGGGAUGAUAAUAGCUUAUCACCAUGAGAUUUAUGUGAAAAUGAUUGAAUAUCAUUAAUGUACAAGCACAAAUGGAGCAUGAAGAUGAGGAAAGCAAUACCAGAUUGAAUCAGUCUCGCGUCUUCAAGGAGACGAUAACACUUUGGUGCUAGCAGGAAAAACCAGCUCCAUGAACAAGACGCAAUAA
Molecule: unclassified non-coding RNA, 235 nt
Filed under: Hevea brasiliensis (rubber tree)
Lineage: Eukaryota; Viridiplantae; Streptophyta; Magnoliopsida; Malpighiales; Euphorbiaceae
Source: RNAcentral